GGUUAAGCGACUAAGCGUACACGGUGGAUGCCCUGGCAGUCAGAGGCGAUGAAGGACGUGCUAAUCUGCGAUAAGCGCCGGUAAGGUGAUAUGAACCGUUAUAACCGGCGAUUUCCGAAUGGGGAAACCCAGUGUGACUCGUCACACUAUCAUUAACUGAAUCCAUAGGUUAAUGAGGCGAACCGGGGGAACUGAAACAUCUAAGUACCCCGAGGAAAAGAAAUCAACCGAGAUUCCCCCAGUAGCGGCGAGCGAACGGGGAGGAGCCCAGAGCCUGAAUCAGCAUGUGUGUUAGUGGAAGCGUCUGGAAAGGCGCGCGAUACAGGGUGACAGCCCCGUACACAAAAGCGCAUGUGCUGUGAGCUCGAUGAGUAGGGCGGGACACGUGGUAUCCUGUCUGAAUAUGGGGGGACCAUCCUCCAAGGCUAAAUACUCCUGACUGACCGAUAGUGAACC
RNAcentral lists this ribosomal RNA (456 nucleotides) under Salmonella enterica subsp. enterica. RNAcentral's name for it is "partial 23S ribosomal RNA". It matches the Rfam family "Bacterial large subunit ribosomal RNA", at positions 1 to 496 of the family's 2925-position model. The record is from RNAcentral. Lineage: Bacteria; Pseudomonadati; Pseudomonadota; Gammaproteobacteria; Enterobacterales; Enterobacteriaceae.